RNAcentral lists this non-coding RNA (31 nucleotides) under Mus musculus (house mouse). Lineage: Eukaryota; Metazoa; Chordata; Mammalia; Rodentia; Muridae. The record is from RNAcentral.
UAGACUGAAGCAAAUCCUGAUAUUUUUUCUC